Molecule: ribosomal RNA, 432 nt
Filed under: Bufotes viridis (European green toad)
Lineage: Eukaryota; Metazoa; Chordata; Amphibia; Anura; Bufonidae
Description: partial 12S ribosomal RNA
Rfam family: Bacterial small subunit ribosomal RNA
Source: RNAcentral
AAACUGGGAUUAGAUACCCCACUAUGCCCAGCCGUAAACUUUUAUUUACAUCCAAAUCGCCCGGGAACUACGAGCUAAGCUUAAAACCCAAAGGACUUGACGGUACCCCAUAUCCCCCUAGAGGAGCCUGUCCUAUAAUCGAUAAUCCACGUUUAACCUCACCGCUUCUAGUUAAUCAGCCUGUAUACCUCCGUCGUCAGCUUACCACGUGAGCGUAAAUUAGUGAGCCCAAUGUUAUUUCACCAACACGUCAGGUCAAGGUGCAGCAAAUGAAGUGGGAAGAGAUGGGCUACACUUUCUAUUUUAGAAGAAACGAAAAACUACUUAUGAAACCUAGUUAGAAGGCGGAUUUAGCAGUAAAAAGAAAUCAGCAUGUUCAUUUUAACCUGGCACUGGGGUGUGUACACACCGCCCGUCACCCUCUGCAGUCAA